CCUUCUCUUGAGAGGCAGGCGGGCCCUAGCUGCAGCGUCAAGGUCUGGGGAUUCUGUGGCUCUGUAGGGUGAAGGGCACUGGAGACCUACCAGGGGCUGGGCCAUUGGAGUGGUGGGUGCUGGGGAGCUUCCGUGGGCCCCUCCAGGUCCACUCCUUGCUCUUCUCUGCCUUGUUUUGUGCCCAGAAGGCUGACCUGUGUGGAUGCAUUAUCAGGGUGGAUGCAACACAGGGCUGCCAUGCUCUCUGGUAUCAGUUUGGAAGGCACUGGCAGGAUGGGAAGGCAGGCGGGGAGUGAGGUCAGGGGGCCUAUCCUUCCACUGCCUCCCUGCUGCUCCCUGACUGAUUCAGAAGGACAGAAUAACGGGCUCCCAGAUUCACAAGCCCCACCAAGAGGAUCACCCCAGGAACGCUUGGAGGCUGAGGAGUUCACUGAGGCUACUGCAUCUUGAGACUCAGGAUGAAGACCCAGCUUGGGGCUGUCAAAGGUGCGACCUGCCAGCUGAGACCUCCAGGGGUCGAGCCCAGGCCCCUUUGCCUUGUUCAUGGCUUAGGCCAGUGCUUAGCAUAUAGUAAACAACUUGUAAAUGUU
Homo sapiens (human) is the source of this 590-nucleotide long non-coding RNA. Ensembl annotates it as Pvt1 oncogene. Its record names the gene PVT1. Lineage: Eukaryota; Metazoa; Chordata; Mammalia; Primates; Hominidae. The record is from Ensembl.